UCAUCAUCCUUGUAGCUGCUGUGUUUGCAGGUGCUUGUUACCUGGCACGAAGGAGAGGCAGACGCUACUCUGUUGAUUUCACUUCUCGGCCCGAUGAGACCAACAUCCCUCUCAGUGCCGUAGAGCCUGAGGCGCCAGCUGAUACUCUGCCUUACAACGGCGUGCAAACAUUUGAAACUGAAGAAACUCCUGCGAAUGAGCAGCAGGAAUCAGAAGAAAAACCCGAAGCACCUGAGGAGCCGAAAGCUGAGUCUGAUAAAUCUGUCGUGGAUCCCUCUGCUGAGUCUGCGGCCCCGCUUCCAGACGGCACACCGGAGGAACCAAAAGCGGACGCUGCCGAGCAGCAGGAGAGCCCCCCCGCACCUGUGGAGACCACAUGGAGGACAAAACUGACGACGAAGGCGCCGUCUCCAGUAAGACCUCUGUGGAGUCGCUGAAGGAGACAAAUGAGAACAACAGCAACAGCGCUGAGUCCAGUCGGAGGAGAGAUCUAAAGAUGAGGGACAUCGUCUGGGAAGUUCCUCUCAAGUGUCCUGUGU
Salarias fasciatus (jewelled blenny) is the source of this 539-nucleotide long non-coding RNA. RefSeq lists it as uncharacterized. The transcript has 5 exons. The record is from RefSeq and is a predicted model, not a curated record. Lineage: Eukaryota; Metazoa; Chordata; Actinopteri; Blenniiformes; Blenniidae.